RNAcentral lists this long non-coding RNA (657 nucleotides) under Cyanistes caeruleus (blue tit). RNAcentral describes it as "lncRNA (ENSCCEG00000010769.1)". Lineage: Eukaryota; Metazoa; Chordata; Aves; Passeriformes; Paridae. The record is from RNAcentral.
CCACAGCCCUUGCUCUGUGGGGCUCUUCCCUCUGAGUGCAGCACCCCAAGUCAGGACUGCAGGAUCCGGUCCCACUCUGCUGGAGUCUCUGGGGUCUGAUGGCAGCAGCCUGACCCUUCCUGCUGACAGGCAACCUUCUCAUCCUGGGAAAACACAGUUUUAGACCAAGGGUUUUUCAGAAGUCAUCUCGGAGGGACAGUAAAAUGUUGGCAUCUGGAGGCACGAGGAAACGGAAUGGGAGAGAGCUCAUGUCAAGACAGCGUGAAUCUUCCCACGGUUACUUUUCUCCAAAGAGGACUGUGCUGUGGCAAACUCUGCUGGCAGGAUGAGGACACGAGGCUGGAAACACCAGCACACUCCACAGGCAGCAGCCGGUGGCCGGGAGUGACGACUGAACUGGAGACGCAGCUCAAGCUGCCAUGGCUGAAAUUUCACUGCAAAAGUUUCUUGUUUCGCCUUUUACUCCUUUGAUCCGCUGGAAGAUCAAGUUUCAGGGGAACAUCAGCCAGGACAAGCUGCAGAGGGCUAGAAUUACAGCAUGUGAAGCAGCAGGGCCAGACGAGAUCGCUUUCAGGCUAAGCUGGUCCUUACACAACUAAAGCCAGAGCCUGGACUGAUGGAGAGCCACGUCAGCUACUCUUAUUGUUAUAGAUACAG